Molecule: long non-coding RNA, 3362 nt
Filed under: Cyanistes caeruleus (blue tit)
Lineage: Eukaryota; Metazoa; Chordata; Aves; Passeriformes; Paridae
Description: lncRNA (ENSCCEG00000014129.1)
Source: RNAcentral
CGCUCGGCCGGCCGCUGCCCGGGCAGCGCGGGAGCGCGGGGGCGCUGCGAGCCGGUUUCCAUGUGACUGCCCGGCACAAACACGGCGCUCUCCCCCGCGGGCACUGCCGGGGCGGCCGCCCACGCCGCCCACGCCACGGCGUGGGAGUGGAGGGGAUGGGGUAACAGGUGGCGGAGAGGAUCGGCAAAGCGACAAAUCCCCACCAGCGCUUGCUCCCGGGAUCCUCCUUUGUCUCUUUUCCCACGAACUUGGCAAACCCGGAGCUUGUCGGGCGACUGUGCCCGACACUGAGCCCCGCGAGGAGCAGAGGCUUUUCCUCAGCCUCACACCCUGGCUCUGCCGCUUACGGCCUGUUCUCGGCACCUCUGUUACAGACAUUUUUUUUUUUCUCUCGGAGGCGGCAUAAACAACUUUUAAAAUUAGCAGCGGCUGUGGUCAGGAAGAAGGGCUGGACGGCUGUGGCUGUCCCUGGGUUUUCCUCCUGCGGAGCGAGCCCAGCAUGGGGAAGGCAGCCCCACUCCCCGGGCGGUGCGGGGUGCACAGCGGCAAGUCUUCGUGGGAACGUGGGCGUCGCGUUAAAAUCUGUAUUUUUUGUUUCAGGAAUAUCCCCCCCUCACGCCUUUCCCCCAGAAUAACAACUGCUACACCUGUGUGCGAAAACAAAACCAGGCUGGAGGCAGGGAGUCUGACAGGCACUACUGUCGUGUGUGUACUCAGCCCGGCACGCCUGGCGUUGGGCAGCCUGGCUUCUCCAGGCCAAGCUUUUGUAGAGUCGGGCAGGAUUGAGAAGACGACUGCAGAAGGGAUGCUCCAUGCAUGGUCUAGUGGCACAACAAAACAGAAAACUCCUCUUUGUAAGCUGUGGAUGUGGCACAUUCCCAGUGUUUCCUGUGCAGCACACUGCAUACACAACAUCACGUUCACCACUGCAAACAGCCUGCACCCCACCCAUGCAUCACACUCAGCUCUCCAGCCAGCAGCAUGGUUGGAGCUGGGAGUGAUGGCAGUGAGGAGCACCUGCUGCCUUUGAAACCCUGACUGCCAGGUGGGGCUUCAACUACUAACUCCUGGAGUCAUUCUUGGAGUAAGUCAGUCCCAAAUGUCCUUAUAAAACAAUUUUCCUGAGCCAUGUCUAUAGUGAAUACUCAGUACCAGGGUUUCUAUUUCAAGAAGGCCAUUUCUAUUUUGAUAUUAAAAAAUAUAGUCAUGCUAUAAUCAGAAGAAUUAUAUAUACUCACAGUCCUCUAUGUAAAUAUUUAACACUGUAUGGAAGAAGCUUUAUUAAUAUUUUCUACAACUAUGUUUUAGCUCACAGACUGGGGAAAAUUUUUACUACAUUUUAUUUUAUUUUUUUUUGCAGGAUAGUAAUUUACUGAAUUUAGAAUUUUUCCAUGGUUAAGAGGUAGUAGUAUCUCCAGGUUUCAUUUUCAAGUUUCAGAAUGGAUAAAUCACAACAUAAAUUUAAUAGAAUUUCAUAGUUACACACAUAAUUCUCAUUUCAUACCUGCAUCCUCUGAUGCACCUUUCAGUUAAUCCUGAUUGAUAGCAAGAUAAAUGAAAAGAGGUGUUGGUUCUAUGUUUAUGUCAAAACUAAUACACUACAGAUAAAGACAAAUACACACCGCACUUAAACAAAGAUACAAAGGUAACAGUCUUGGUGCUGCUGCUGUUUCUAUUGAGUUACAUAAUUUGUGAUUGCCUUAGUUCAAUAAUUCAAAGCACACAGAGGUUUAAGAAGAAAGACAAUAUUAUAUCACCAUAUUACUUAAUUCUUUAGGGAAAAAAAAAAAAAAACUUUGACAUAUCAUAUAAUCUCUACAAAUUCUCCAUAAAUUGAACAGAAUUGAAAUAGAAUUGAAAGAGAAACAGAAAUUGAAUAGCUGCAUCCUGUUAAAUAACUACAUACACUCCCUACCUUUUACUCACUCCUGCCCCAAAUACAGACCUCAUGAACCUGCUGAAAUCACGAAAUUGUAUUAAUGUGAGACUCAUAGCCCUGAAAGAGUGGGCCUUAACAGAUGAUCUUGUCAGGAAAACAUCUGAAGAAGGCAGAGGAACUCUGGCAUACAUAAAACCUUAUUCAGACUUACGUUACAAGUACGAGGGGGUAAAUGAAAAAAUAAGUUGCCUCUUUACCUUGAGGAAUUCUCUGCGAGCUUAUCUAGAUUGACAUCAGGUACAAUAAUUUUUUUGGUCACCAUCAUGUCAUGAUAAGAUCAGUGGUGCGAAGGGUGACUUUGCCAUCACCUGACUCUCUGAGGCCAGCAAAGGCUUCUUAACUCUCCCAUUAUAGAUUUCAUGAAGUUUACACCUCAAUACCAAUAGAUGAAAAAUAAUACUUUUAAUUAUAAUUUUAAUAAUAAUAACUAUUUAAUUUUAAUAAUACUUUCUAAUAAUACUUUUAUUUUUGCUAACAUACCUUGAGACCAAUCCUGCUGCUUAUGUCUUUGUCCAGAAGAUUUGGGUUACCUAGGUAUGGCUAAAGAAGAAGAAGGGCUGUUUUCCAAAGAUGUCUGGUGAUACAAAAACAGGAGAUCUUGGACUGAGAUGAAGAACAGAGUUGUUUCACCACAGUGUCACUGAACUGAUGUGGUCAUGCAGUGACAGGACACGGUAGAGCUUCUCUUUUUAUGAAAGAUUGCAGUCACCUUCCUCACUCUGUUCCUGUGAGCAAUACGCAGAAUUAGAAACCGGAAAAACUGUCCUUGAAUUACCAAGGAAGGGAUUGGAGAGUCAAAGAGGGGUGGAGGAAGUAUGGAUUAUCUGGACAAGAUCACUGUAACGAUCUGAAGCUGACUGAUAUUGAGAGGUUUUCUACUAAUUCCACCUGCAUUUACCAAACCUUUGAUAUCACUUGCAAACACAGGCAGUAAUGACUAUCUGUUCUACAGAACUUCUCUCAUUUGUUCCCCUCUUUCUUUUGAAUGUGAAGUUAAUCAUGUAAUUCCACCUCUCAUGAGUUGUACUGGUGCUAUGUGAAUCUUCUCAAGAAUCUGCUGUUUACUGUCCCCUAAAAGACAACAUGAAGAUAAAAAGUCUGCCACAUUCUUUAAACACCCUUUAAAUACCCUGUACCUGACAUGGUGUGGUUGAUGAACCUUUGGAACUUUUUUAUUUCUCUGUCUUCUCUGGCUUUCCCAGCUCUUGUUACACUGCAAUAUAAUUCUAAGGGUGUGGCAUAAAUUAUUACAUAAUUAAAUUAAAUGACAUUCCAUUUUUUUUCAGAUGAGUCAUCUGCAGGUAUCCAGAAAAUGUACAGCAUGAGAGUUACCUCAUGUUCAAGGCAUUAAGAAUACAAAACUAGCUCAUUAGAUGUUCUUAGGAAAAAUAAAUAAAGAGAACCUCUAACUUAAAAAUAGAGA